Long non-coding RNA from Cyprinus carpio (common carp), 1962 nucleotides. RefSeq lists it as uncharacterized. The transcript has 3 exons. The record is from RefSeq and is a predicted model, not a curated record. Lineage: Eukaryota; Metazoa; Chordata; Actinopteri; Cypriniformes; Cyprinidae.
UUAACAGAAAAAAGUGCGCUAUAACUCCACCUAGUGUUCAGAUGUGGGAUUAAGAUGAAGCGUUCAAGCUACAAACUUGUUACUAGGCCUAUUCGUAAAGAGUGAAUGCUGUUCUACAUGGGCCUGUUGCGGGUGACUGUUCCAGACAGCACUAAUGGAGAGGUGGUGACUUUUAUAGGAAGUUGCUUUUGAGAGGGUGUCAGACAUCAUUUUGAUCGCAGAUUGCAUUAGAGCUUGUCAGGGUCUAUCAGAUAUGACAUCCGGUCACCUCAAGCAGGACAAGCGCUGUUGUUGCCCAUGAAUAAAGUUGUGUAGGAACAUUUACUACACAUGGAAAAUGUGGGCUGUGGUUUUCUUCUCUUCUUGGCUAGAGACUGCCUUAGUUAAAAAAAUAAAUAAAUGAAAAAAAGGCAAAAUGUUAACUGUUCCACAUAUAUGUUCCCAUGCAAGGGGGCAGCACUUUGGGUUGGUCCCCCAACCUAUGUGAAGACCUAACAUACUAAUUGUUUUCUUCAUAUUCAAUCUGUACAGAAGCUGUUUAGAUAUAAAACAGCAGAGAAAAAUAUGUCAGUCUGGUUAGAUCACAAACAUUUAUUGUAGCUUUGCUUGUGUGUCCCAGUUAAUUCUAAUCACCAUCAGUUUGAACAAGGCUGCUGCUAUUUGUUGAGACUUUUAAGAGUGCUAUUAUGGGUGGUAUUGCCAGUGGUAUUGGUGCACUUGUAUAGAAUUCUGCUACACUCAUUUUUAUGACAGCAAUCAAGUUUCUGCUUCAUUUCAUUUAUAGGGAGGAGAACAUGUCACUUUUUUUUCUGAGUUCCUAACAUUGUUCAGGAAGCACAAUUCCAUUCCAUUAAGUUAAACAGUAAAUGAUACAUCAUGUGACCCCACAUAGUUAAUGAUAAAUGGAUGAUGUCUUAUUUUGGGAAUAAUUGGUAUAUAUUUUGAGAAUAAAAUGGUAGACAAAGGAAAAUGAUAAUGCAUAAUGUUAAUGAUAAUAGAAGUGCUGUACUAGUGACAUACACUACACUGGAAAAUUCCCAAUAAUCUGUGCACUUGAUCAGUCUGUUUACAAACCCUCUUAAUACUGAUUGUUUGCUAGAUGUGAAGAUUUUUCAGGAGUACAACCAACAUGUGUAGCACUGCUUCUGAUACAACAGUGUAUUUCUAAUGAGGCUCAGGAUCCAUCGCAGUUAAUGUUAAAUGUACAAAAUGUGUGGAUCUUCUAGUCCGUUCUGAUGUUGUAAUAGAUUUCAAGAUGAAAUUUUCGGGAGCAAAAGUUGUGAGUGUAGAUUGGUAGGAAAAUAUUUUAGGUUCAAGGUCAAGCUUCCUUUAAAAAUACAUUUUUUUGUCUUUUAUUAAAAAAAAUUGAUUUUGAAUAUGCAAGUGAUCACAUCAGUGAUUAUUAGAAGUUAGAACUACUUUUCUUACUGUUUAGAUUAAAAAUAAUUUAAAAGACUGAUAAGACUGUUAGAAAAACAAAUGAAAGCAAGAAGAUUGAUGGGUUGAUCUAAUUGGUAGAUGCACAAAAGAUGUCACAUCAACCUAUUUGUGUCAACGUGUGUUAACAUGGUGGUAAUACAGUUUUCAUGUACAGUCAGGCACAACUACUAAAAUUAGCAAUGCAAGAUGUCUUUGUAUACUGACAGAUUCAAUCUCACCUCUCUUUUUACUUUAGUUGAAAGAGAACUUGAACAUUCGUACUUUGUGCCAGUUUCCUAGCAAAAUAGAGAAGCAUUAAGACACCACAGACAUGCUUACCAUAGUUGCAUUUAUUUGAAAACAGCAAUCUGUAUUUUUUUCACCUGUGCUUUGAUUCGUCAAAACUGAUAUUGUACAUAUUGUUUUUCCACUGAAAAUCACAACGUUACCCUUUUUAUUUAUGUUUUUGUUUUAUUCUUUUUAUUUGUUUCAAUACAAUGAUUUGUGCUUUUGAUACCAUAGUUUGAAAGACAUGUUAAUACA